CACAGACAAGCUAUCACCCACAGGGACAGCAAUCACCAGAGGCAAAAAGGAAAGAGAUCUUCAUGUAAACAGAGUCCCUCUUAUUGGCUGAAGUGAAGAGUCAUUCUGAGGAGGAUCUGAAAAUGUAGAGGUGAGACGCUAAUGGCAGAGUGGCCUCAGCUUUCACCAGGUUUUGAAAACAUCUGUGAGGGAGGCACCAAAUUCACUGUCCUGCAGCUUUGACUUCCCAAUCCUCGUUGCCUCGUGCUGCCAGCCUGUAUGCUGGUAGAAGUGUGUUCCUGGGAACAUCCUGGCAUCUUGUGUUAGGACUACACUGGUGCAUGGGACAGAUCACGCUCAAGAAGGUCGAUGUAAUUUGAAAAACAGAUGGGCUCUGCUUUGUGAAAACUCCAAGCAUAUGAAGUCUAACUUGAAUAAAAGGCAUCUCAAGAUGAAGGUUUCCUAUUUGUGAUUAUGAAAAAAAUGUCAAGAACAAGUCCCUUGGUGUUCUUAGACCAAAGUCAGAACAACAGACCUAGUAAGUAUUCUCUCAGCAUUCAUUACAUGUUAGCAACCUUCAAAGCAGUUUGUGUUCCCUCAUAUGGUCCUCCAUGAGGUAAGUAUCAGAGCUAUAGUAAGAUCUAUUUAACAGUGAGACCCAAAUGUGUCCCAAGACCACUCAGGAUUGCCCUGGUAACCCUGAAGCUCGAAAAUCCCUGAGAUCAAGACUGAAGGAGUCUGUGUUGUUCCUCCCGCAUGCUUCUUCCUUGCAUGUCCCUUUUUCUUCCCUUUCUGUAUCCUUUCUUCCCCAU
This 791-nucleotide long non-coding RNA is filed under the name Homo sapiens (human). RNAcentral's name for it is "HSALNT0268922". The record is from RNAcentral. Lineage: Eukaryota; Metazoa; Chordata; Mammalia; Primates; Hominidae.